This 69-nucleotide transfer RNA is filed under the name Sylvia galinieri. RNAcentral describes it as "tRNA-Asp". Lineage: Eukaryota; Metazoa; Chordata; Aves; Passeriformes; Sylviidae. The record is from RNAcentral.
GAGGUAUUAGUAAAACAAUUACAUAGUCUUGUCAAGACUAAAUUGCAGGUAAAACUCCUGUAUACCUCA